AAAAUCAAAAAAACCCAACAGAUCCUGAUGUGGAAGUCCGAAAAUCACUUGCUGAGCACUUACUGUAUGCCAUGUAAUCUACCAGGGCCUGGAGAUGCAGUGAUGGAGCAAAGAUAGACGUAGUCACUUUUCAUAUGGGUUUACUUGAAUCUUUUAGAAAGUCAGGUAUUCAUGGGUUCUUGGCCUUUUGGCUAAGAUCGGGUGUGGAAAGUUAGAUAUUCAGUUUUAGAAGGCACAUGAACAAAAGUAAACUUUAAGUGUGACAGAUGCCCCAGGGUUGGAGGUAUACGGUGCUGUGAGAGGCUGUGUUAGGGGCAUCUGUUCUAGAUCGAAGGUCAGAGAAGCCUUCCCCUGGAGUGGCAAUGGAGCUACAGUCUGAAGGGACAAUAGGAAGUCACUAGGGGAAGAGGUAGAGGAGAGCAUUCCAGGCAGGGAGAAUGGCAUGUACAAAGGUCCCAUAAAGAAGAGACUGUAUGUCUCUGGUAUGCAAGGGACUGAAAGAUCAUGCAGAAGGACCCCUGGCACCUUGCCCUACCACUAUUAUAAUUGAGGGUACACAUUGCAUACAGAGGGGAGAAUAAAAACAACUUCGCAUCCUUAAAUGACCUUAAAAAAGUCAGAAAAACCACAUGUAAUCCUACUUUUCAAAAUGAAUAAAACUUUGAGCCAUGUUUCAAAAGUUAAAAACAACUUUAUCUCUGACUUUUGUAACUUUGAUGUCUUCAGAUUUAUAACAAUAGUUGAAGAUAUGAUUAUCGAGUGAGGAACUUCUGGCUUUUGAGCAAUGAAAAUAAUAAACGUAUUUGUAACUUUAUAACAUUUUUAUUUACAUACCUACAUUUUCCUUUAUUCAGGGUGCCCCACUCCUCAGAAGGUUGGACUCUUGCAAACAGUGUAAGGCUCAUUUCCUAGGGCUUGAAUCUCCCUCUAGGUUCUCUCUUGAUGGUGCUAGUGUGACUGGAAUGACUCCAAGUGACUCUAGAGGGAGGUAGUUGGGGCCAGCUCACAGAGUCCUGCAGGUUACGCUUAGAAGUCUUGUCUUUACCUUGAGAUCAAGGAGGAAGCCCCUGGGGUCACGGGGACAUGAUCUCUUACACUUUGAGAUCAUCUCUCUGCUUGCAGAGUGAAGAGUGCAUCAGAGAUGUAAGACAGAGUAAGUGCAAGUGUGUGAGAAAAUAGGUUCUACUUACAUAAAUGGGUUAGAAAAAAGCUUAGGGCGGAAAGCCCCCUCCACAAGGCAAAAACGCCUGAGGUUCACUUGCGAGAUGCUAUAAUGGGUUCACAAGUAACUUGUUAUAUCACCUGCAGGAAAUUAGCUUCCAUCUCGCGCCAAUAUACUAUUGUGCUUUGAUCACAAACUCCACUUGCUCCCCAGACCCUUUGCUUCUGACACCUACAAGUUAAUGAUUACUAUCUGAUUGUUUUCUCCACGUUCACCUGUGUAAGAUCUUGUUUUCUUCAUGUUCACCACGUGGGUAAAAAUCUGUUCUCCUCACGUUCACCACGUGGGUAAGAUCUUGUGCGCUCAAUAAGUAAGUGACACACGGCCUGUUGGGGGCUCCUGUUUCCCCCCGGAUGCUAUCUUUCAUAUUUGCUUCUGUGUCCGCUCUCUUGCUGGCCAACGUGGAACUCCAGACUCAAAGUCUGUGACACAACAAUUAUGGAAGGUAGAUAUUAUCAUCCUUUUCUCGCUAAAGAAGAACCAAGACUCUGACAGGUUAAAUGACCUGCUGAAACAUACAGAUGGUGGUGGCAAAGGUUGAAAUCCAGUCCACGGAUCUCCUAAGUCUACGAUGGCACAAGAAUUUCUGAAGAAAGUCGCCAAGCCUUGCUGUUUGGUCCACUCUCAAGUCACACCAGCUUUAACAAGGCCUUCCCCGGUGCUGCUGCUCGUGCUUUUUGUCCUCUCAUUCCCACUCCUCGACAUCCACUUUCCACUUCCUCCCGCCAGCCCCUCUCUGACCUCCUUCACCCUCCGCUCCUACCCUGCCACUCCUCUUAGAAGGUUAAGGAGUCCAUGGGGUGCCCGGGUGGCUCAGUCGGUUAAGCUCCAACUCUUGAUUUCGGCUUAGGUCAUGAUCUCAUGGUUUGUGGGUUCAUGAUGACAAGGUGGAGCCUGCCUGGGAUUCUCUCUCCCUCACUCUGCCCUUCUCCCAUGCUCUAUUUCUCUCAAAAUAAAUAAACUUAAAAAAAAAAUGUCAGAAAGUCCAGCACAAUCCUUCUCAGCUUCCUUGUCUCAUUCUUGUCUUUCUGCAUCUUGUUUCUUCUUUCCUCAUUUAUCAUUUCAUCUAUAAAGGAUUUACUGGGAACCUUCUAUGUCCUAGGCACAGUGCAGCCUGUAAUCCUGUUCUCACUGUGCAUUCAGGGAAAGCUGAUUAAAAAAACAGGCAAGCAAGCAAAUAUAUACAGUAUACCAAUAUAUGAGACAGGAUAGUUAUAAAUUGCAACAGGAGCCAUGAGGGAAAUUAACCAGGUCCAAAGAGAGAGAAACAGAAAGAGGAAGAGGUGAUCUGUUUCUUUCCAGGGCUUUCUUCCCUCUGCACAUUGUGAUUCCUGCCUGGUUUGCUUCCCUGAUCUAAUUACUGUCCUUUCUCUCUCUUACUUCCAAUCCUUUCCUUCUGCCUACAAAUAGAAUUGACUCACUCCCACUGUAAAACAUAUCUUCAUGAUUCUAAGAUUGUUUUACAAUUGGGUGUUUGUUUCCACCUCCCUACUGAAACUGGACCUUCCAUUAAACUGAUAUAGACUUAAAGUCUAAAUCCCGUGGCCUUUGCUUAGUAUUCUUGACUUGCUUAUGAGACUGGGUCUCUUUUGAUCUAAACCCAUUCCUUCCCUGAUUUCUGUGAAGUGGAACCAACCUUGUUCUCGAAACUUUCCAAAUGUGCAUCUCUUCUUGUCUUUCUCUUCUACAUCUUCACACUCCCCUCCUUUGUGACAUUUUUUAUUUUCCCCAGGCAGAAGUGACCAGGCCCCUUCUCUGCUGUCUCACAGUUCUGUCCUUAACAAGUGGCUGCCCUCACUGCCCUUCUGGAGCAUUUUCCUUUUCCUUUCUGGGCCUACAAUAUGUCCAAGGGCAAGAACUGUGAAUUCAGCCUUCUGAUCCCACCCCAGGGCUUUGCCAUGGAGGCAUUCAAUAAGUAUUUAGAAGGGAUUGCUGUUAGCAAUGGUAUUCGGUAGAUAUCCUUAAGUAACCUCUCAAGAUAUUUCUUAAUUAACUUGAUGUAUUUGUGCAUUUCAUGGAUGUUAGGACCUGGAAGCUGGGAAUUUGAUAUUUCAACUGGGGGAGAACUGGAUUCUAAAAGUAAAAGCCAGGGCCAUCUGUAGUCCUGGUGCCUAUGAACAGGACCUCAGUAAAGGCUGCCAUAGCAACACACAGCGUUGCUUUGUUUUAGUCGGCAUAAAUUAACCUUUUAAAACAUAUGACUGGAAAGGGUUAUGUUAUUUUUGUAAAGUGUAUAAUUACAUUUUUGCUUUGAGAUAUCCUUCCCCCCCGCCCCACAUCCCCACUAUUAUGACUCUGGUGGCUCAUUAUGACUGCGCUCCUCUGAUAUUUUCGCCUCCCAAUGAACAGAAGCAACUUGUUGGAUCACAUCUGGCAUGUUAAUAGAUGUAUCUUUGCACAGUAAAAUGCUAAAUGAUGUGCUGUGGAUGCAUGGGUGUUGUCAGGCUUUGCAGGGGGAGAGAGCUUGAUGUUCAGAAAGUGUUUAUGGCAGUGAGACUAAUGAGUGGCCUCUCAGGGCUUGUUUGAUUCAGCCAGACUGAGAGUGAGAUGAUAGGGCCCUUCAGGUGACACAGAGUAUGGACUGGGGCAGUUAACAGGAAUGUGGAUCUUACGUAUAGAUGAACCAAACUGCCAGCCCCAGGUUUGUUCAUAAUCUUUGAACUCUACUGAGUUUUACUUGAGUAUAUGAAGACCCAACCACAAAUCAGUAAGAACUAGACAGAGAAAAGCAUUUCUACUGAUUUUUUUUUAAACAUGCUUCAAAAUGCUCCUUUUUUCCCCCAAGUCCUAUUCACAAAUCCUGUUCCUCUCUCUAAUCAAUAUGAUGACAAGUGGGUGGAAUAAUGGGGCAUAAAUGGAUAGCACCUUAUGAGUAAAAACCAACCUUCAAACAUUGUCCAAAAAGGUUUUUUUAAAAACAUAUCUUUUGAUAUUUCAAAAUAGGCCACAAUUAGACCUUAACAAUCCCAAACUCUCAUGUUAUGUGCCAGAUGUAGGAAAAGAAAUAUUCGUCCCUUUUCCCAUGAUUAUCCAUGUGUAGAGGUGUCUAUUAUUUGGAGGCCUGUUUAACAUAGUCAUCCAAACUCUGUGAGCUGAGAGGGGCAAAGUUGCAGGAAAGCCUUCAAAUAUUUGGUUAUGCAUGAUCAUUCUGCCUGGGAGCAAAUGGACAAAGUAUGGCACAUUUGAAUUUUUCUGAGGUCAUUUUCUAAUUUUAUGCUAAUAUUAGAUGCCAAUGUGAUUAAUAAUAUAACCUAUCAGUUUUAGCCACUUGAUAAUUCUUCUCACUAGGCUCACGUAUAACACCAUUUUUCCCCAUGAGAAACCCAAAUUAUUUUAUAAAUUUUCACUUGCUAAAUAAACAACAAUUCUCACACUCUGAGAGCAAGACAAGUGCAAUUGCAUUUCAAUGAGUCUAGAAAAGGAGAUGCUCUUUCUUAUUUAAUAUUUUUAGUUCCACCUGUUCUUCUCAGAUACAUUUUUACUUUACUCUUUGAUAGUUUCCUUUGCUGAAUCCCCUUUCCCACCCAAUUCUUUUGAAUCUGUAAUUGAAAGUGCUUUCUGUAGCUCUCCAAGCAACUUUAAACCCAAGACUCUUGUGUUUUACCAUCCAAAGCAGUAGAAUCUACCACUUCCUGCCUCUACCACCAAGCUCCUGUUUCGUGAACUUCAAUAGACUGCAAAGACCUCAAAGGCAGGGAUAGAGGCUGAUCCACAUUUGUAUCCCUGGGGUUGAGCUCAAUGCUUGGCAGUUGGAGAUCCUCAUUAAGUGCUGUUUGAACAAAAACAACAACAACAACAAGAAAUGCGUGGGUGACCAUUCCAUUCUAGACCACUUCAUUAGAAAUUUAUGAGGUCCAUGUAGGAGAUGUAAGAAUGGGAAACUAUUUAACACAACGCCUCACCCCCCUCCCCUUUGGUAACCAUCAGUUUGUUCUCUAUAAUUAAGAGACUCUUU
Molecule: long non-coding RNA, 5177 nt
Organism: Felis catus (domestic cat)
Lineage: Eukaryota; Metazoa; Chordata; Mammalia; Carnivora; Felidae
Exons: 3
Source: RefSeq, a predicted model, not a curated record